UGAGCUGACAGGCACAUCAACAAAUUGUCCAGUUCCAUCAGCUGCUAAAAUUCUGGACGAGGCCCAUCAGCUUGGCAUAAUCCAGGGGAAGUAGAGUCUUUUGAUGUAAAUAUUUGGUAAAGUCAGUGCCUUUUACCAGAAGUUGAGGAGUGCAGUCUGUUGCGUAGAGACGUGUAUGCCAUUUACUUUGUUUUAGAAACUGAAAUCCCCUCGUUGCAAAACAAAACUUUGUUUCUUAUUUAUGUGGACCGUAUUUCUUUUCCUGAACCAGAAAAAAAAAAUCCCUCUUUUCACUAGGGGAAAAAAAAUCCCUCCUAAGUGGUAUUUCAUUUCUCCCAGUUUCUAAUAUUCAUGUUUUUAUAACAAAAUUGUAAACAAUGUGAAGCCACAAACUUGAGUCUUUUCGGCGAGUCUUGUGAGCCGCCGAGGGGCUGGCUGCCCUAGCUUGUUUAUAGAAUCCGCUGGAGGUGCCCCUGAGCGGCCCCAGCCUCCCCAUCUGUGCUCAGAUGGGAGACCACGGCCCCCCUGCUCUGUCUGCUGCGUUGAGUGUGCUCAUGGGGG
Molecule: long non-coding RNA, 561 nt
Filed under: Bos taurus (domestic cattle)
Lineage: Eukaryota; Metazoa; Chordata; Mammalia; Artiodactyla; Bovidae
Description: long non-coding RNA NONBTAT026130
Source: RNAcentral